This 316-nucleotide ribosomal RNA is filed under the name Klebsiella pneumoniae. RNAcentral's name for it is "bacterial SSU rRNA". It matches the Rfam family "Bacterial small subunit ribosomal RNA", at positions 1 to 309 of the family's 1533-position model. The record is from RNAcentral. Lineage: Bacteria; Pseudomonadati; Pseudomonadota; Gammaproteobacteria; Enterobacterales; Enterobacteriaceae.
ACUUAAAUUGAAGAGUUUGAUCAUGGCUCAGAUUGAACGCUGGCGGCAGGCCUAACACAUGCAAGUCGAGCGGUAGCACAGAGAGCUUGCUCUCGGGUGACGAGCGGCGGACGGGUGAGUAAUGUCUGGGAAACUGCCUGAUGGAGGGGGAUAACUACUGGAAACGGUAGCUAAUACCGCAUAACGUCGCAAGACCAAAGUGGGGGACCUUCGGGCCUCAUGCCAUCAGAUGUGCCCACGAUGGGAUUAGCUAGUAGGUGGGGUAACGGCGUCACCUAGGCGACGAUCCCUAGCUGGUCUGAGAGGAUGACCAGCC